Molecule: ribosomal RNA, 254 nt
Filed under: uncultured bacterium
Lineage: Bacteria
Description: partial 16S ribosomal RNA
Rfam family: Bacterial small subunit ribosomal RNA
Source: RNAcentral
UACGUAGGGGGCAAGCGUUGUCCGGAUUUAUUGGGCGUAAAGAGCGUGUAGGCGGUCCGGUAAGUCCGCUGUGAAAGUCCAGGGCUCAACCCUGGAAUGCCGGUGGAUACUGCCGGGCUAGAGUCCGGAAGAGGCGAGUGGAAUUCCUGGUGUAGCGGUGAAAUGCGCAGAUAUCAGGAGGAACACCGAUGGCGAAGGCAGCUCGCUGGGACGGUACUGACGCUGAGACGCGAAAGCGUGGGGAGCAAACAGGA